CCUACGGGGGGCAGCAGUGAGGAAUAUUGGUCAAUGGCCGAGAGGCUGAACCAGCCAAGUCGCGUGAGGGAAGAAUGUCCUAUGGAUUGUAAACCUCUUUUGCCGGGGGACAAAAGGCCGGACUCGUCCGGUCCUGAGGGUACCCGGAGAAAAAGCAUCGGCUAACUCCGUGCCAGCAGCCCCGGUAAUACGGAGGAUGCGAGCGUUAUCCGGAUUCAUUGGGUUUAAAGGGUGCGCAGGCGGGCCUUUAAGCCGGCGGUGAAAUCGCGGGGCUCAACCACGCCGAGCCGUCGGAACUGGGGGCCUUGAGUGCGUCGGAGGCAUGCGGAAUGCGCGGUGUAGCGGUGAAAUGCAUAGAUAUCGCGCAGAACCCCGAUUGCGAAGGCAGCGUGCCGUGCCGCCACUGACGCUGAGGCACGAAAGCGCGGGGAUCGAACAGGAUUAGAUACCCCUGUAGUC
RNAcentral lists this ribosomal RNA (459 nucleotides) under uncultured bacterium. Its description in RNAcentral is "partial 16S ribosomal RNA". It matches the Rfam family "Bacterial small subunit ribosomal RNA", at positions 338 to 795 of the family's 1533-position model. The record is from RNAcentral.